RNAcentral lists this ribosomal RNA (468 nucleotides) under uncultured bacterium. RNAcentral describes it as "partial 16S ribosomal RNA". It matches the Rfam family "Bacterial small subunit ribosomal RNA", at positions 28 to 507 of the family's 1533-position model. The record is from RNAcentral.
GACGAACGCUGGCGGCGUGCUUAACACAUGCAAGUCGAACGGAAAGGCCCUGCUUUUGUGGGGUGCUCGAGGGGCGAACGGGUGAGUAACACGUGAGUAACCUGCCCUUGACUUUGGGGUAACUUCAGGAAACUGGGGCUAAUACCGGAUAGGAGCUCCUGCUGCAUGGUGGGGGUGGGAAGGUUUCGGCGGUUGGGGAUGGACUCGCGGCUUAUCAGCUUGUUGGUGGGGUAGUGGCUUACCAAGGCUUGGACGGGUAGCCGGCCUGAGAGGAUAACAGGACACAUCAGGACUGAGAUGCGACCCGGACCAGUAUGGGACGCAGGAGUGGAGAGUAGAACACUAUGGGAGGAGCCCAAGUGUGGCACAGCCACGUGCCGGAUGUCGUGCUGGGCGUAGGGUUGUGCAUUCGCCUGUGACGGGACGUUAAUGACGGUAACGGGUAAAGAAGCACCGGCUAACUACGUG